Molecule: microRNA precursor, 273 nt
Filed under: Olea europaea subsp. europaea
Lineage: Eukaryota; Viridiplantae; Streptophyta; Magnoliopsida; Lamiales; Oleaceae
Source: RNAcentral
GUUGGUGAGUGAUUGAAGCUGCUAGAUGACCUGAUUGAACCCAAAUCUUAGAAGCUAACUUCAUUUUUGACAAAGGUUAAUCGGUCAACUUUAAUUUGGUCGAGUCAAAAUCAAAUCCCAGGAGAUCAAGAACUCAAACAAUCAACAUCAAUAUCAUGGAUCAAGGGUGGAGGAUUGGUUGGAUUUCUGUUAAAUGGUUGUGAGAAUUCAAGAAAAGAAGAAUAUAGAUUUGUUUCUUACCAGAUCAUGCUGGCAGCUUCAACCUCUCAAACC